CCUCCAUCUUAUUAUAUUAAAGGUUACUCCCUUGUUCGUUAUAGCCUUCAUCUUAUUAUAUUAAAGGUUACUCCCUUGUUCGUUAUAGCCUUCAUCUUAUUAUAUUAAAGGUUACUCCCUUGUUCGUUAUAGCCUUCAUCUUAUUAUAUUAAAGGUUACUCCCUUGUUCGUUAUAGCCUUCAUCUUAUUAUAUUAAAGGUUACUCCCUUGUUCGUUAUAGCCUUCAUCUUAUUAUAUUAAAGGUUACUCCCUUGUUCGUUAUAGCCUUCAUCUUAUUAUAUUAAAGGUUACUCCCUUGUUCGUUGUAGCCUUCAUCUUAUUAUAUUAAAGGUUACUCCCUUCUUCGUUAUUCGCUCAUUUUCCGUUUUUUCCACUGCAAGUGUGCAUAUUUAUUUAUUUCUUUAUUUAUUUUCAUUUGUUUAUUUAAUGUUAUUUGUAGUAGAUAACUGAGGGGGGCACUACCCUGGCCUCCUCUUCCUCUGAUUCUCUUUCUUCACACAUUUAUCUUAAUACUUCACACUAUUGUCCAUAUGCUUCAUUUUUUUUUUCUUGACUUUUUAUCCAUACCUCACACUUUUCUUAGUAUUUCACAUUUUUUCUAGAUCAUACUCUACACUUCCUACCUGGGGGACGCGGUUUAGGCCUUUAUAAAGUCACUCUAUGGCUGCAUGUCCGCCGCGGCACACCACCACCCUGUGAGGCGUAGAGCCCCGUGCUCCCCUCCAUCCUGGGGUAACAAUCCUAAAACAAACAAACCUGGGAGGCGGGACGCUGCCGCUGCCUGUCACCUGACACCCUCUCACUGAUGAGUGGAUCGCGGCGCGGGUGGAGAGAGACUGCCCAUCCCUCUCCACUCCGCCCGGGAAGGAACUCAUGAAUUCUCGGUUGAGUCGCGUGUGCUACCCAUUGCACUACAGAACAACAGUGGUUGGCCAGAGUUUCCAUUACCAUAUCGUCAAAGUCCAUGUCCUCCGGAAGAACCAUUAAUUAUAUAAUUAAAUCGUCACUAUUAUUUCCGCCACUUAAAACGAGCAAAGCUUAAUGAAAAUAAGAGGCGUUUUCUCGUCAGAGUAAAUUAAACAAAAGCACUGUAAGCACAUGUCCCUAUUUAUCCCUAUACCGCUGCCGCCAGUUUUAGACCCUUCUUUUCUUGUAUUAAAUCAACUCUUUUAUCACUCAUUAAUUACUCCAUAAAUGAUCUCACCGUCUCGUAUCCCUGGUAGCGUGAUCCGGCUUAAGUUGUUAUUGGAGACUGGUGUUCGGGGAUAAACAAGGGAAAAAGAAAAUAUACAUUUAUUUAAAAUUAAAUGAAAGUAAUUGCCUUACGCAAUAUUCUAUGCUCAGACGAUCAUAACACUGGCAUAUUCAGCAAUGGAUGCAACAUAUGACAAACGACAUGUCUUAAACAUAAUACUACAAUAUGUGCUCAGUUGUUGCCAAUAAUAAUAACAUUCGUCGUUCCACAAGCAGUGGUUUGUAUCUCUCUGCUUACAUCACAAUCAUUAUGUACUCUCUUCACAAAAUCCUACUACACAUUCCUAUAGUAUAAUCUACUA
Molecule: long non-coding RNA, 1556 nt
Organism: Eriocheir sinensis (Chinese mitten crab)
Lineage: Eukaryota; Metazoa; Arthropoda; Malacostraca; Decapoda; Varunidae
Exons: 3
Source: RefSeq, a predicted model, not a curated record